Peromyscus leucopus (white-footed mouse) is the source of this 454-nucleotide long non-coding RNA. RefSeq lists it as uncharacterized. The record is from RefSeq and is a predicted model, not a curated record. The transcript has 3 exons. NCBI's taxonomy places the organism in Eukaryota, Metazoa, Chordata, Mammalia, Rodentia, Cricetidae.
CUGGUCUAUAUAGCUCAGGAGUACAACUUGGAUCUUAUCAGGGUGAUACUGGGGUAGUAGCGUGGCAGAAAUGAAUACACUUGUCUACCUGCUAAAUUCCCGUCCAGUUUCCAAGUUCAAAUUAAGAUGCCUGAAGUCUUCCCUGGAUCCUCAUGGAGAGAAGGUGCUUAGGAAGUUCUGCAGAUGCUUGACCCUAUGUGUGGCAACUUAAGUGAACCUGGUGACAAGGUGAGAAGAGGAAACACAGAUGCGACCCUCAAGGGGUAACUACCCCUCUGUCUCCCUCUCUAUCCCCUCAAUGACGGUUAAGAUGUUCCCCAAGGAUGCCGUACCAUCUGCCCUGCUUCUCCCAAGGACCGCUUCAUGGGCUGCUUGCUUGUGGCUUUUCUGGGAACCAACAGCAGCACUUGCAGGCUUGGCCGGGACUUAAUGACUGCGGAAGCUUGAGAAUCAG